Molecule: long non-coding RNA, 306 nt
Organism: Gavialis gangeticus (Gharial)
Lineage: Eukaryota; Metazoa; Chordata; Crocodylia; Gavialidae
Exons: 3
Source: RefSeq, a predicted model, not a curated record
CCGAAGCAAUAUGCCACCAGCUGCUAACUGAUGUAUUUGCAUUUGUAGUUGAUUUUUACGUGUGUUAGUCAUGUGACUAGCAGAUCUAAAGAAGAUCUAAAGUUGCUCUGGAGAUAUUGAUGUUUCUUGAGCAUUAUUGUCUGACAGUGAAAGCAAGGACAGAAGACUGAAGUAAAGAACUCUGAGACUGCGGUCGUAGUCAAUGUAAUUUGUGCUGAAGGAAUGAACUGAACAAUUCUAAGGUUCCAAGCUAAGUGUGGACACAUCAGACAGUAAGAACAGUGGAGUUUGGCGAGGGUUAGAGAC